This 338-nucleotide unclassified non-coding RNA is filed under the name soil metagenome. RNAcentral's name for it is "partial contains 5.8S ribosomal RNA, internal transcribed spacer 2, and large subunit ribosomal RNA". The stretch from base 1 to 120 matches the Rfam family "5.8S ribosomal RNA", at positions 35 to 154 of the family's 154-position model. The record is from RNAcentral.
GAUGAAGAACGCAGCGAAAUGCGAUAAGUAAUGUGAAUUGCAGAAUUCCGUGAAUCAUCGAAUCUUUGAACGCACAUUGCGCCCCCUGGUAUUCCGGGGGGCAUGCCUGUCCGAGCGUCAUUGCAACCCUCAAGCGCGGCUUGUGUGUUGGGCUUCGUCCCCCCGUGGACGUGCCCGAAAGGCAGUGGCGGCGUCCCGAAUGGUGCCCGAGCGUAUGGGAACUCUCUUCCGCUCGAACCGGCCCAUUCGGCGCUGGUCGAACCCCAAUUUUUUUUUACCGGUUGACCUCGGAUCAGGUAGGGAUACCCGCUGAACUUAAGCAUAUCAAUAAGCGGAGA